UACGUAGGGUGCAAGCGUUGUCCGGAAUUAUUGGGCGUAAAGAGCUCGUAGGCGGUUUGUCGCGUCUGCUGUGAAAACCUCAGGCUCAACCUGGGGCUUGCAGUGGGUACGGGCAGACUAGAGUGCGGUAGGGGGUGACUGGAAUUCCUGGUGUAGCGGUGGAAUGCGCAGAUAUCAGGAGGAACACCGAUGGCGAAGGCAGAUCUCUGGGCCGUAACUGACGCUGGAGGAGCGAAAGCGUGGGGAGCGAACAGG
This 255-nucleotide ribosomal RNA is filed under the name uncultured bacterium. RNAcentral describes it as "partial 16S ribosomal RNA". It matches the Rfam family "Bacterial small subunit ribosomal RNA", at positions 524 to 776 of the family's 1533-position model. The record is from RNAcentral.